Molecule: long non-coding RNA, 1753 nt
Organism: Pistacia vera
Lineage: Eukaryota; Viridiplantae; Streptophyta; Magnoliopsida; Sapindales; Anacardiaceae
Exons: 4
Source: RefSeq, a predicted model, not a curated record
UACACACCCGUGACUUCCUCUUGCUCAGUCCAUCAAUCAAGCACAAAACACUCCUUUUUUCUUCUAUAACAACUGAAACUUUUCUAUGUUCUUGCCCCACUCCUACUGAGCUUUUCAUUUCACCUUUUUGUCUUCAUUUACUCCACCUAUUCACCACCAAAGCACAACCGUGAAUCCCUUCCCCUCUGUCAGUCCAUCAACCAAGCACAAAGCAACCAUUUUUCUUCUUCUCCUUCCUCACUGAAAGUUUUAGACUCAUAGAACAAAGUUUUAGACUCAUAGAAACUCAUAGAACAAAGUUUCAAACUCAUAGAAACCCAGAGAACACUUUCUCCGAUCUCUCCCUCCUUCCGGCAACAAACCAAUCUGCAAUCAUAAACAUUUUUCAGAUCCAGUUCAUCACUCCCGUGAAAGCCUUACUUCUCUCUUGUGUGCUCUCUAUCCUCCCGUCAAGAAUCGUAAAGGGGUGUCGAUUUCCUUUCAGAUCCAGACACAACUCAGCUCAUAUCUCCCAUUUCGUCCUCAACACCUCAGAUUCGGCGCGCUUUAUUGAAAAUCUUUCAGUUCUUCUUCUCAGGUUGAUAAUUGCAAGUUCAUCGCAAUAGCUACUUACAAUGCUAUGAACAAAUGUACAUGUCACUCAGCCCACUGGCGUAGAAUUGAUUAUUACUUUUGACUCUAGAGGACAUUUCGACAUUUAUCCGGAAUUGGGGUACACAGAAGACCUUGUUGGUCUACCUUGACUGUCGUCUCCCCCGUACUUUCUGUUAAAAGCAGUGUUGGGUCAAACAAGAUGAGUGAGUCCGUUCAACGGACUGCUGAACUCACCCAUAGGUUUUUAGAACUGUUGGCUGAGUGGGUGAAAACAACCCAUGGUACUGCAAUUAGAGCUUCUGACCAUAGGAGGAUUAGUGAACAAUUACAAAAGGUAGCGUAGAAGAAACUGGAAGUGCAAUAGUUGUCUUCUAAGUACCAAUGCUUGCGAUCGACAUACAGGUCUUAGCGUGCGCUAAUAGAACAUACGGGGUUUGGUUGGGAUCACGAGUCCCAACCUCCAACAUGUCCUAAAGAGAUAUGGGAAGAAUAUAUAAAGCAAAACCCUGGUGCGCAACAAUUCCUACACAAAGGACUUGUUAAUAGAGAGUUAUAUGAGGUCAUAUUCCAGAAGCAAAAUGCAACUGGCAGAUUUGCUUACACAUCUGCAUCUCAACCUACGGCAUCCAACAUGGGUUUUCCAGAUCCUAUCGACGCAGACAUGAAUGUAGAUGACUUUGAUCCAGAUCCAGAUAGAUUAACUGGGGAAAAACGAUCUAACAGGUCUGGAGAUAGCAGAUCUGUAAAUAGGAGAAGGAGAGACAAGGAGGGAAACCCAUUAUUGGGUGUGAUUGGUCAGUUGGCGGAAGCUAUUUCUAAUAAGACUAUGGGAUCUGCAGCAUCAAAUCGUAGUGCCGGUGAUAGAACCCAAGAGAACACAAGUGUUAGGACGGAUCAAUAUUCCCUGGAAAAUUGUCAGGCAAUUUUGGAAAGUAAGCAACUUCCAUCGUAACUAUAUUUGGAUGUUGUGAAGUACUUAAUUGCCAACCCAAAGUGGCGUUAGCUAAUGGUGAACAUGUCACCGGAGAUAAGGGAAUUUUGGGUUUAUAAUGAUUUCCUUAGUAUGUAGAUGACGGUGUUUGACUUCCUGGUUGAACUUGUAGUUUUCGCUUGUUACUCUUUUUUUAUUCCGUUGACAUUUGAGAUAUUUUAUAUUUAC